UACGGAGGGUGCGAGCGUUAAUCGGAANUACUGGGCGUAAAGCGCACGCAGGCGGUUUGUUAAGCUAGAUGUGAAAGCCCCGGGCUCAACCUGGGAUGGUCAUUUAGAACUGGCAGACUAGAGUCUUGGAGAGGGGAGUGGAAUUCCAGGUGUAGCGGUGAAAUGCGUAGAUAUCUGGAGGAACAUCAGUGGCGAAGGCGACUCCCUGGCCAAAGACUGACGCUCAUGUGCGAAAGUGUGGGUAGCGAACAGC
Molecule: ribosomal RNA, 253 nt
Filed under: uncultured bacterium
Lineage: Bacteria
Description: partial 16S ribosomal RNA
Rfam family: Bacterial small subunit ribosomal RNA
Source: RNAcentral